CGAUCUGGCUCAGAUGAACGCUGGCGGCGUGCUUAACACAUGCAAGUCGCGCGUGAAAGGACUUCGGUCCGAGUAAAGCGGCGCACGGGUGAGUAACGCGUGGAUGAUCUACCCAUGAGUUAGGAAUAACGGCUGGAAACGGUCGCUAAUACCAAAUACGCUCCGAUUUCAACUUCGGGGGGAAAGGUGGCCUCUGCUUGCAAGCUACUGCUCAUGGAUGAGUCCGCGUCCCAUUAGCUAGUUGGUGGGGUAACGGCCCACCAAGGCGACGAUGGGUAGCCGGUCUGAGAGGAUGACCGGCCACACUGGGACUGGAACACGGCCCAGACUCCUACGGGAGGCAGCAGUGGGGAAUAUUGCGCAAUGGGCGAAAGCCUGACGCAGCGACGCCGCGUGAGGGAUGAAGGUCCUCGGAUCGUAAACCUCUGUCAGGAGGGAAGAACCGCCACGGUGCUAAUCAGCCGUGGUCUGACGGUACCUCCAAAGGAAGCACCGGCUAACUCCGUGCCAGCCGCUGC
This 518-nucleotide ribosomal RNA is filed under the name uncultured bacterium. RNAcentral describes it as "bacterial SSU rRNA". It matches the Rfam family "Bacterial small subunit ribosomal RNA", at positions 14 to 518 of the family's 1533-position model. The record is from RNAcentral.